RNAcentral lists this ribosomal RNA (492 nucleotides) under uncultured Actinomycetes bacterium. Its description in RNAcentral is "bacterial SSU rRNA". It matches the Rfam family "Bacterial small subunit ribosomal RNA", at positions 355 to 857 of the family's 1533-position model. Lineage: Bacteria; Bacillati; Actinomycetota; Actinomycetes. The record is from RNAcentral.
UGGGGAAUAUUGCACAAUGGGCGGAAGCCUGAUGCAGCGACGCCGCGUGAGGGAUGACGGCCUUCGGGUUGUAAACCUCUUUCAGCAGGGACGAAGCGCAAGUGACGGUACCUGCAGAAGAAGCGCCGGCCAACUACGUGCCAGCAGCCGCGGUAAGACGUAGGGCGCGAGCGUUGUCCGGAAUUAUUGGGCGUAAAGAGCUCGUAGGCGGCUUGUUGCGUCGUCCGUGAAAUCCUGGGGCUCAACUCCAGGCUUGCGGAUGAUACGGGCAGGCUAGAGUUCGGUAGGGGAGACUGGAAUUCCUGGUGUAGCGGUGAAAUGCGCAGAUAUCAGGAGGAACACCGGUGGCGAAGGCGGGUCUCUGGGCCGAUACUGACGCUGAGGAGCGAAAGCGUGGGGAGCGGAACAGGAUUAGAUACCCUGGUAGUCCACGCUGUAAACGUUGGGCGCUAGGUGUGGGGGACCUCUCCGGUUCCUGCGCCGUAGCUAACG